This 845-nucleotide ribosomal RNA is filed under the name uncultured euryarchaeote. Its description in RNAcentral is "bacterial SSU rRNA". It matches the Rfam family "Archaeal small subunit ribosomal RNA", at positions 105 to 903 of the family's 1478-position model. Lineage: Archaea; Methanobacteriati; Methanobacteriota. The record is from RNAcentral.
CAACCUACCCUCGGGAGGGGGAUAACCCCGGGAAACUGGGAAUAAACCCCCAUAGGUCAUGGAUGCUGGAAGGCGCCAUGACCGAAAUUCCGAAAGGAGCCCGAGGAUGGGUCUGCGGCCUAUCAGGUCGUAGUGGGGGUAACGGCCCCACUAGCCUACGACGGGUACGGGCCCUGAGAGGGGGAGCCCGGAGAUGGACUCUGAGACACGAGUCCAGGCUCUACGGGGCGCAGCAGGCGCGAAAACUCCGCAAUGCUCGAAAGAGCGACGGGGGGACUCCGAGUGCCUACGCUUUGCGUAGGCUUUUCCCGAGCCUAAAAAGCUCGGGGAAUAAGGGCUGGGUAAGACGGGUGCCAGCCGCCGCGGUAAUACCCGCAGCUCGAGUGGUGGCCGCUUUUAUUGGGCCUAAAGCGUCCGUAGCCGGUCUGGUAAAUGCCUGGGUAAAUCGUCUGGCUCAACCAGACGGCUCCCAGGUAGACUGCCAGACUUGGGACCGGAGGAGGGAGAGGGUACUCCAGGGGUAGGGGUGAAAAUUCCUUUCCGUUAACGCUUUGCGCAAAGCGGAAAGGGUUAUCACAAUCCUGUAAUCCCUGGAGGACCACCGGUGGCGAAGGCGCUCUCCUAGGACGGGUCCGACGGUGAGGGACGAAAGCCAGGGGAGCAAACCGGAUUAGAUACCCGGGUAGUCCUGGCCGUAAACGAUGUGGACUUGGUAUUGGGACGGCUACGAGCUGUCCCAGUGUCGUAGGGAAGCCGUUAAGUCCACCGCCUGGGGAGUACGGUCGCAAGGCUGAAACUUAAAGGAAUUGGCGGGGGAGCACUGCAACGGGAGGAGCGUGCGGUUU